CUCGAUCACUCCUACGGGAGGCAGCAGUGGGGAAUAUUGCACAAUGGGCGCAAGCCUGAUGCAGCCAUGCCGCGUGUAUGAAGAAGGCCUUCGGGUUGUAAAGUACUUUCAGCAGUGAGGAAGGUGGAGUCGUUAAUAGCGGCCUCAUUUGACGUUAGCUGCAGAAGAAGCACCGGCUAACUCCGUGCCAGCAGCCGCGGUAAUACGGAGGGUGCGAGCGUUAAUCGGAAUUACUGGGCGUAAAGCGCAUGCAGGUGGUUUGUUAAGUCAGAUGUGAAAGCCCGGGGCUCAACCUCGGAAUUGCAUUUGAAACUGGCAGACUAGAGUACUGUAGAGGGGGUAGAAUUUCAGGUGUAGCGGUGAAAAUGCGUAGAGAUCUGAAGGAAUACCGGUGGCGAAGGCGGCCCCCUGGACAGAUACUGACACUCAGAUGCGAAAGCGUGGGGAGCAAACAGGAUUAGAUACCCUGGUAG
RNAcentral lists this ribosomal RNA (473 nucleotides) under uncultured bacterium. Its description in RNAcentral is "bacterial SSU rRNA". It matches the Rfam family "Bacterial small subunit ribosomal RNA", at positions 328 to 793 of the family's 1533-position model. The record is from RNAcentral.